AUACGAAGGGGGCUAGCGUUGUUCGGAAUUACUGGGCGUAAAGCGCGCGUAGGCGGACUGAUCAGUUGGGGAUGAAAUCCCAGGGCUUAACCCUGGAACUGCCUCCAAUACUGUCAGUCUUGAGUUCGGGAGAGGUGAGUGGAAUUCCUAGUGUAGAGGUGAAAUUCGUAGAUAUUAGGAAGAACACCAGUGGCGAAGGCGGCUCACUGGCCCGAUACUGACGCUGAGGCGCGAAAGCGUGGGGAGCAAACAGGAUUAGAUACCCUAGUAGUCC
RNAcentral lists this ribosomal RNA (274 nucleotides) under uncultured bacterium. RNAcentral describes it as "partial 16S ribosomal RNA". It matches the Rfam family "Bacterial small subunit ribosomal RNA", at positions 523 to 796 of the family's 1533-position model. The record is from RNAcentral.